GACAACGGAGACUGUGUCACUGACUUCUCAAGUAUUGUUUUAGAGUAAUUUGCGGGUGGGACUGGGGGGUGGGGGAGGUGAGCAAGGGACCUUGGACCUGUCAUUGCUCCAGUGCUCAUGUCGCAGGGUCCAGAGUCUGGCUCCCACCUUCAAGGAGGCCUCCUUUCCAGAGGAGGGCACAACCUCCCCAACAGAGGUAAGAGGGCCUGUUCUUCCUCGAUCCUAACAAACACUUCCCACUUGAUUGGCAUUUCUAAUUAACUGCCAUCUCCCCGCCUUGACUGAGUUCCCCAGGGGCCCUGGCCUUGUUCACCACUGUGUGCUCUCACACAAGGGCUGCCCAAGUCAUUCAUACAGGCAACCAAUACUUAAUGAAAACCUGUCUUUUCCAGGUGCCAUGGUGUGGUGGUGGAACAGAUACCGUCACUGUGUUAAGUGAAGAACCAGUACCAGCUCCAUUUAUGAAGCUAUUUUUAAAGAUGACUCACAAUGGAGAUGAGGGGAAACCACCAAUAAAAGGCGCAAACAGCAACCAGGUAAAAAAUAAAUUCUGGCACGCUACGUUUCAUAGGCGUGUAUCAAGACAUGACCUCUGUGUUCUUCAGCUACCUAGGCUGGUACAGGAUGGCAAGCUUUAAGGUGCCGUCUCGUAAAUAUGACUGUGGUGGCCAGUUGUAGCUUAAAAUAGCAAAAUGGAAAAAAAAAAUCAGUCUUGCUUUUCAAGACUGACUGGGACAGGUGUAACAAAAGAAGCUGUGGCGUCUUGACUGGAAGAAACUUUCAGGCAGUUAGAAAAUAAAGUGCAGGCAGUCAAAACGUGGAAAGAACUUCUCCCUCGAGAAACGUUUUCAUUUUUUUUUUCUUGAACAGACUAUCACUCAUUUAAAAUUAUGAAUUUUCUGAAGUUAGUACAGUUUGUGUUAAACCUACACUUUUCCAAAAACAUGCAAAGAGCAAAGUUUAAUUAGUAUGUAUUCAUUGUAUGUGUGUGUGGUUCAAACCUGAUUUAACAAGGACACCUCAGGUUUUCCAACAAUUACAAAAAAAAAAAAAAAAAAAAAAAAAAAAA
This is a non-coding RNA of Sus scrofa (pig), 1069 nucleotides long. The record is from RefSeq and is a predicted model, not a curated record. NCBI's taxonomy places the organism in Eukaryota, Metazoa, Chordata, Mammalia, Artiodactyla, Suidae.